RNAcentral lists this long non-coding RNA (619 nucleotides) under Citrus maxima (pomelo). RNAcentral describes it as "long non-coding RNA (CMAX_LNC002496)". Lineage: Eukaryota; Viridiplantae; Streptophyta; Magnoliopsida; Sapindales; Rutaceae. The record is from RNAcentral.
UGGGGGUGGUGGUGAUUUCUCAGGCGGUGGAGGAGACUCAUAGUAGUAAGGCGGAGGUGGAGACUUUUCGGGCGGUGGAGGAGACUUGUAAUAAUAAGGUGGUGGUGGAGAUUUUUCGGGUGGGGGAGGUGACUUGUACUCAUAAGGUGGUGGAGGAUAUUUUUCGGGUGGUGGAGGUGACUUGUACUCGUAAGGUGGUGGUGGAGAUUUUUCGGGUGGUGGAGGUGACUUGUACUCGUAAGGUGGUGGCGGAGAUUUUUCGGGUGGUGGAGGUGACUUGUACUCGUAAGGUGGUGGCGGAGAUUUUUCGGGUGGUGGAGGUGACUUGUACUCAUAAGGUGGUGGUGGAGAUUUUUCGGGUGGUGGAGGUGACUUGUACUCAUAAGGUGGAGAUUUUUCAGGUGGUGGUGGUGACUUAUACUCAUAAGGUGGAGAUUUUUCAGGUGGUGGUGGUGAUUUAUAUUCAUAAGGUGGGGGUGGUGGAGAAGCAUAAGAGUAGGCAUCAGCAGAUACUGAAACUACAUUACUUGAAACAACAACUAUAAUGGCCAGCAAUGCCACUACAAAAUGGGGCCAAAACUGACCCGGAGGCGGGUUUCCGCCCGGAAUCGCCAUGAUU